RNAcentral lists this ribosomal RNA (320 nucleotides) under uncultured eukaryote. RNAcentral describes it as "partial 18S ribosomal RNA". It matches the Rfam family "Eukaryotic small subunit ribosomal RNA", at positions 1470 to 1796 of the family's 1831-position model. The record is from RNAcentral.
CCCCUAGAUGUUCUGGGCCGCACGCGCGCUACACUGAACAGUUCAACAAGUCUUAACCUUGGCCGAUAGGUCUGGGUAAUCUUUGAACGCUGUCCGUGAUUGGGAUAGACCUUUGCAAUUAUGGGUCUUCAACGAGGAAUUCCUAGUAAACGCAAGUCAUCAGCUUGCAUUGAUUACGUCCCUGCCCUUUGUACACACCGCCCGUCGCACCUACCGAUUGAAUGGUCCGGUGAAAUCUCGGGACGGCGGCUCGGUCGCUUGCGUCCGACUGCUGAAACUUGAUUAAACCAUAUCAUUUAGAGGAAGGUGAAGUCGUAACA